This 389-nucleotide ribosomal RNA is filed under the name uncultured bacterium. RNAcentral's name for it is "bacterial SSU rRNA". It matches the Rfam family "Bacterial small subunit ribosomal RNA", at positions 30 to 419 of the family's 1533-position model. The record is from RNAcentral.
AUUGAACGCUGGCGGCAUGCCUUACACAUGCAAGUCGAACGGCAGCACGGGAGCAAUCCUGGUGGCGAGUGGCGAACGGGUGAGUAAUAUAUCGGAACGUGCCCAGUCGUGGGGGAUAACGUAGCGAAAGCUACGCUAAUACCGCAUACGAUCUAUGGAUGAAAGCGGGGGAUCGCAAGACCUCGCGCGAUUGGAGCGGCCGAUAUCAGAUUAGGUAGUUGGUGAGGUAAAGGCUCACCAAGCCGACGAUCUGUAGCUGGUCUGAGAGGACGACCAGCCACACUGGGACUGAGACACGGCCCAGACUCCUACGGGAGGCAGCAGUGGGGAAUUUUGGACAAUGGGCGCAAGCCUGAUCCAGCAAUGCCGCGUGCAGGAUGAAGGCCUUC